GACGAACGCUGGCGGCGUGCUUAACACAUGCAAGUCGAACGGAAAGGCCCUGCUUUUGUGGGGUGCUCGAGUGGCGAACGGGUGAGUAACACGUGAGUAACCUGCCCUUGACUUUGGGAUAACUUCAGGAAACUGGGGCUAAUACCGGAUAGGAGCUCCUGCUGCAUGGUGGGGGUUGGAAAGUUUCGGCGGUUGGGGAUGGACUCGCGGCUUAUCAGCUUGUUGGUGGGGUAGUGGCUUACCAAGGCUUUGACGGGUAGCCGGCCUGAGAGGGUGACCGGCAACAUUGGGACUGAGAUACGGCCCAGACUCCUACGGGAGGCAGCAGUGGGGAAUAUUGCACAAUGGGCGGAAGCCAGAUGCAGCAACGCCGCGUGCGGGAUGACGGCCUUCGGGUUGUAAACCGCUUUCGCCUGUGACGAAGCGUGAGUGACGGUAAUGGGUAAAGAAGCACCGGCUAACUACGUG
RNAcentral lists this ribosomal RNA (468 nucleotides) under uncultured bacterium. RNAcentral's name for it is "partial 16S ribosomal RNA". It matches the Rfam family "Bacterial small subunit ribosomal RNA", at positions 28 to 507 of the family's 1533-position model. The record is from RNAcentral.